UUCAGAACAGCUGCUUCCUUUUGGUUGCUGGUGGCAGGGAUAUUAUGGAGAAAUGUGAGUGAAAGAACACAAUCCGUUUUUCUUUCUGGAGGCAAUUGACGCCUGAGACUGAGGUAUUUACCUGAGAGCCAUUGAAGUCACCAGCUUAACAGCAGGUAUUUAUCAAGCACAUACUACAUUCCAGAUCCAUUGCGUGGUGCUAGGAAUAUAAAUGAUCCCUUCCUGGUGAACCUGCUCUAUCCUAUAUGUAGCCUCUGGAGAGGAGGCUUCAUGGACACCCUCUUUUUAAAGGACAUUCUAUACAAAUGUAGCUUCUCUGGUUAAAGUAUGGUGAAGUCUGUCCUGUGGGCACUCCCCAUUGACUCCUAGCAGCUCUUGAGCCCCAUCUUCAGGAUCCAUACUUUGAUAGUCACUGACCAUUAACUCUGAAAAUCUAUAGUUCCAAUCCUGUGAAAUGAGAAGAAAGUUGAAGCUAUAAAGGAAGUCUUUGCCUGCAUUCAGAUUCUGACACCAAAAACUCCUCUGAUUAUACUGAAGUAUGUAAGAAAACCUUCUCUGGAAAUCAGGGACCGUUUCUGUUCAUCUUAUCUUGAGCUACAACCCAAAUAGGAGUACACAUAUGUAGGAUUCAAUAAAUAAUUUAAGAUAAUUGUGAACACCUUGCUCUGGCUGGUUCUAUUUUUACAUUCAGAGAGGAAAGCAUUCUGUAUUCUCCCUAUAAACAAGUCUAGGAGCACAGGGUCAUGGACAUCCUCUGUGCACAAAAUUACAGUCCGAUGUUGGGUAUCUUUCUCCUGUGAAGUGAAGGGAAAUAGAAAAGUAAACAAAGAGGACCACAGUAUAAGAUAUCACCUCAAAAUAUAAACCUGAAGACAAGAAAAACCAGGCUCAAGGAACAAAUGAACAGGAAAGUUGAAAUUCUAGAAUACAUUUGCUUUAUACCAAUAUUAUUUACAUCUUGUUUAAAUGAAAAGUUGUUUACAUACCAAUGGAUGACAACAAAGAAACAGCAUGGAAACUGGAAUCAGAGGCCUGUGUCUGAAUUUCACAUCUACCAUUGAACAACUGCAUGACAUUGGGAAAUUUACUUAGUUUCUGUAGACCUCAUUUUUCUUAUCUGUAAAAUGGCUUCCACAAUCUGAAACUCAAAGGUUUCUUGACAAGAUUGAAUGUGAUAAUUCAUGUAAGGGAUCAGGACGAAACCCAGCACAUAAAAGACUGCAAGCUAACACUGUUUACAAACACUGUUUCCAAGAAAAAAAAAAUGCUCAUUGAAACUGAAGGCACCAGUGUCUGUUGGGUUCAGCAUGUAGCAAGAUGCUCAACUAUCUGCCUCAG
Molecule: non-coding RNA, 1338 nt
Organism: Macaca mulatta (Rhesus monkey)
Lineage: Eukaryota; Metazoa; Chordata; Mammalia; Primates; Cercopithecidae
Source: RefSeq, a predicted model, not a curated record